Molecule: unclassified non-coding RNA, 305 nt
Filed under: Basidiomycota sp.
Lineage: Eukaryota; Fungi; Basidiomycota
Description: partial contains small subunit ribosomal RNA, internal transcribed spacer 1, and 5.8S ribosomal RNA
Rfam family: Eukaryotic small subunit ribosomal RNA (bases 1-47)
Source: RNAcentral
AAAGUCGUAACAAGGUUUCCGUAGGUGAACCUGCGGAAGGAUCAUUACAAAAGUUUGAAACUCCUUUAGUAUGGCUAUAUUUCCCUUUGCUCUGUGGGCAGGCUCUUCGUGAGCUAGCUCAAUCUUAAGGAGCUUAGGGGGACUUGGUUAUAUUAUAGCGAGGUUCAUAUAACACUUUUAAUAACCACAUUGUGAACAGUUUGUAUCUAACCAAAUGCUAUAUAACAUAUCUGAAAUCAACCUAUUGAUCUUUAAAGAGAUUGAUUAAUUUAAAACAACUUUUGGCAACGGAUCUCUUGGCUCUC